AGUCUUCCACCCGCUUCAGGUUCCUGCCCGGUAUUGCCCGGCAGGUUAAACAGGGAAGCCGGUGCGUCUGUUCCAGACUAUCCCGGCGCUGCCCCCGCAACGGUAAAUGAGAGUCGGAUUACCUCAAGGUACUAUCUGACAGAUGAUUCAGCACGACCACUGUGCCUGCACGGGAAGGUCGAAUCAUCGGAUAUUCAUCCGCUCAUGAGCCCGGAGACCGGCCUGUCGCAUAUCACAGCA
Molecule: non-coding RNA, 240 nt
Filed under: Halopseudomonas bauzanensis
Lineage: Bacteria; Pseudomonadati; Pseudomonadota; Gammaproteobacteria; Pseudomonadales; Pseudomonadaceae
Source: RNAcentral